UACGGAGGAUGCAAGCGUUAUCCGGAAUGAUUGGGCGUAAAGCGUCCGCAGGUGGCUAUGUAAGUCUGCUGUUAAAGAGUGAGGCUCAACCUCAUAAGAGCAGUGGAAACUACAUAGCUAGAGUGCGUUCGGGGCAGAGGGAAUUCCUGGUGUAGCGGUGAAAUACGUAGAUAUCAGGAAGAACACCGGUGGCGAAAGCGCUCUGCUAGGCCGCAACUGACACUGAGGGACGAAAGCUAGGGGAGCGAAUGGG
This 253-nucleotide ribosomal RNA is filed under the name uncultured bacterium. Its description in RNAcentral is "partial 16S ribosomal RNA". It matches the Rfam family "Bacterial small subunit ribosomal RNA", at positions 524 to 776 of the family's 1533-position model. The record is from RNAcentral.